CUCUGUCUCUCUUAUCCUCUCUCUCUCUUUGACCCACUCUUAUCCUUUUGCCUUCCAUUAUGAGAUGACACAGUUUCUUUAUAAAUUAACCAGGCUUAGAUAUUCUAUUAUAGCAGCACAAAACAGACUAAGGCAAGCUCUAAGCUCCAUGUGGAUGAGGACUUUAUUCUGCAAUUCCUUAACAUUCCCGCCAACAUUUAGAAGACUUAAAAGCAGAUUAAGUAACUGCUGCCAACAUAUAUGUUGAGAUUUUUUUUGAAAUGGUUAGCUCUUAGUAGAGUUACAAAGAGUUGAUCACAAUCCCAUCAACUGCCACCUAUACUUGUAUUUCAAAAGUGUCUGGUGAUCAUUUGUGAAUCAUAUAAUUUUCAAGACCAAGAUCAUACGUUUGGUAUCAUGAGAACCAUACUGUAGCAAAUCAAAGUGCAACAAAUGUAAGUAUCAAUAACAUAUCUCAAUGAUUUUAAGAUCAACUUGUUGAUUUUGUUAAUUUCUGGCCCGAUUUUGAAGUUAAAUGAUUCCUCAUCCCUUGAAAAAACAGAAAUGUACUCAAAAACACUUUUUAUUGUAUCUUUGUCUGCUGUCAAUUGUUUCUGUAUAUUGUGAAAUGAAACUAACCCAUCGGCCAAGGUGAAUGAGAGAAGGGUGGUCACACCCACUUUGUUCCCAGAGAGGGCAGCUUCAGAGGAACAUCUUGUUUGCACCUCUGAGUUAAGAUGGUUCCUGUAACUGGAGCUCAAGCUCUGGUGGGAAAACUCCUUCCACCAGCGGCCUGAAAGGGGCAGCUAAAAAAGACUUCUGGUUUGAGCUUGGAAACUACCCAGCCAGAACUUAACUGUAUUCAACCAAUUAGGACUGAACAAGUUGGAAUUCUUCAUAUGCAUAUGUGGACCUCAUUGAGGGCUGAGGCAGAGACUUUCCCUAUUCAUUAAGCAAGGCCUGCUCUUUGUUAUCUGGAGCUUACUUCACAUUUGUUUCAAAGGUGUCUCCCCUAUCUGAAUAUUGCUUUUUGUUUUUGUUUUAAAAACAAAACUCUCCUUUGUUUUUCCUCUGAAGACCUCAUUGGCUUUUGUUAACAAUAUCAGGUAUUUCUUUGAUUGCAACAUCAUUGGGAUCUAAAGAGUUUAUGUAGAAUAUAUUUCCACUCAUUUGAGAAUAUUGGACAUGAAUACUUCUAAAGGUAAAAAAAGAGCUAGAGCUUUUUUUUGUUGUUGGUUUUGUGUUGUUUUUAUAGAUUCAGGGAGCACGUAUGCAGGUUUGUUACGUAGAUAUAUUGUGUAAUGGUGAAGUUUGGGCUUUUAGUGUGCUGGUCACCUCAAUAGUGAACAUUGUACCCAAUAGGUAGCUUUCCACCUUCUCUCAGUCUCCCUCUCUUGGAAUACCAAAUAUCUGUUAUUUUUCUGCCUAGGGCUGUUUUUAAAAUUUGUGGAAGAAAAUGCUCACAGUUAUCUUUAAAAUGAAACUUUGGAUUGUUUCACAUUCAAUUGGUAUGGAAAAUAUCCUCGGCAUCGAGAAGCAUAAUAAAGGUGAUAUUUGCAAAUAAAACACAAAAGUAGAAUUUUUUAAAGCUACAGUAGAGUUACAACAUCAAAACUUUCAUAUAUGUAGUCUCUGUUGUUCCUGUGCAAGGUAACUUUUUGGAUUUGAUGUAAGAAUUUUAAACUCCCGUGUUUUUCCAUAUGUAACUAAACAUUAAAACAAGAUCAUAAUAUCAUUUCUUAUUAAAAAUUUGCCUGCUGGUCUUUUAAGUACACAACUUAUUCACACAUAUAAAUUGAUAAUAUAUUAAAUGAGAAAUGUAAUUAGUAUUUGCUCAUUUUUCUUCUUUGAGAAUUUUGUGAAUAAAUGUUCAUUAAUCUAGUGGCAAAUGUACCCUAACGUUGUAUAAUUCACACCCUUUCUGCAUGAGUUUACUAAGAUGUAAUCUAUUUUUCAUUUUAUCUCCUCUCUUUGCUCCAAUUGCACUUCUAUAGGUACUAAAUGUUUAUUUAUGUACGUAUUUGAUUAUUCAUAUGUAAACAUCUGUCAACUCAAUAAAACUCAUUGCAGGGUACUCAUUACUUUAAAGAGAAAACUGGGCUCAUUGCAGUGAAACUAAAUGUAAAAA
RNAcentral lists this long non-coding RNA (2107 nucleotides) under Homo sapiens (human). Its description in RNAcentral is "HSALNT0056997". The record is from RNAcentral. Lineage: Eukaryota; Metazoa; Chordata; Mammalia; Primates; Hominidae.